This 700-nucleotide ribosomal RNA is filed under the name bacterium enrichment culture clone SYF51. RNAcentral's name for it is "bacterial SSU rRNA". It matches the Rfam family "Bacterial small subunit ribosomal RNA", at positions 774 to 1482 of the family's 1533-position model. The record is from RNAcentral.
AGGAUUAGAUACCCUGGUAGUCCAUGCUGUAAACGAUGAUUACUAGGUGUGGGAAGAUUGACCCUUUCCGUGCCGCAGUUAACACAAUAAGUAAUCCACCUGGGGAGUACGACCGCAAGGUUGAAACUCAAAGGAAUUGACGGGGGCCCGCACAAGCAGUGGAGUAUGUGGUUUAAUUCGAAGCAACGCGAAGAACCUUACCAGGUCUUGACAUCCAACGACCGCCUAAGAGAUUAGGCUUUCCUUCGGGACGUUGAGACAGGUGGUGCAUGGUUGUCGUCAGCUCGUGUCGUGAGAUGUUGGGUUAAGUCCCGCAACGAGCGCAACCCUUAUUACUAGUUACUACGCAAGAGGACUCAGUGAGACUGCCGUUGACAAAACGGAGGAAGGUGGGGAUGACGUCAAAUCAUCAUGCCCUUUAUGACCUGGGCUACACACGUACUACAAUGGCUAUUAACAGAGAGAAGCAAGACCGCAAGGUGGAGCAAACCUCAGAAAAAUAGUCUCAGUUCGGAUUGGGGGCUGCAACCCGCCCCCAUGAAGCCGGAAUUGCUAGUAAUCGCGGAUCAGCAUGCCGCGGUGAAUACGUUCCCGGGCCUUGUACACACCGCCCGUCACACCAUGAGAGCCGGGGGGACCCGAAGUCGGUAGUCUAACCGCAAGGAGGACGCCGCCGAAGGUAAAACUGGUGAUUGGGGUG